Molecule: ribosomal RNA, 441 nt
Filed under: Ampithoidae sp. 1 AM-2019
Lineage: Eukaryota; Metazoa; Arthropoda; Malacostraca; Amphipoda; Ampithoidae
Description: SSU rRNA
Rfam family: Eukaryotic small subunit ribosomal RNA
Source: RNAcentral
AGCCCUCGGGUAGUGCACACUCCAAGUCCGCCGCUCAUGCUGUAAGUCUUCUUAGAGGGAUCCACGGCUCGGAAGCCGUCAGAGACUGAGAGCAAUAACAGGUCUGUGAUGCCCUUAGAUGCUCUGGGCCGCACGCGCGCUACAAUGCGGGCACAGCAGGUGUUUUUCCUUCUCCGAGAGGAGUGGGUAACCCUCUGAAAGCCCUUGGCGUGCUUGGGCCUGGAGCUUGCAAUUUUUCUCCACAAACGAGGAAUGCCUAGUAGCGGUGGGUCACUGAGCCCACCGUGAUUCAGUCCCUGCCCUUUGUACACACCGCCCGUCGCUACUACCGAUUGGGUGUACCAGUGAGAGCCUUGGACUGGCGGCCGUUGCCCCUCGGGCAAGCGGUUUCGACUGAAAGAGGUCCGAACUGGUGCACUAGAGGAAGUAAAAGUCGUAGCA